RNAcentral lists this long non-coding RNA (531 nucleotides) under Oryza sativa (Asian cultivated rice). RNAcentral describes it as "long non-coding RNA (OSAT_LNC001916)". The record is from RNAcentral. Lineage: Eukaryota; Viridiplantae; Streptophyta; Magnoliopsida; Poales; Poaceae.
AAAAGCCGUAUAUACGUGGCCUAUGGCGUUUCGAUCCAAACUCCCCUUUCCUUCUAGGCUUCUACUGCGACGAGGAAGCCCUUGCCCUGGCGUCGUCAAAAUCCCUCCUCCGCAGCUUCGCUCCAGUGUCCUGCCUGUCAAUCCUCCGGGAUCUUGGUGGAUCUGCGGGUAGAGUCGGAUUCCAACUACGAUUCGGAGUCCUAAUCAAUUUCGUUGCGUCCCACAUCGUCGACUAUAAAUCUGGUAUGAUCAAGUUGUUUCAUUGCAUCGUUUGGUUGCGCAUCUAUCCCCUCCCAUCUCUCCCAACCAAGGUCGCAGUAACAACGCAAAAGCUUGCGGAUUGAUGGAUUCUCGGGCGGCGCAGUUGGCGGCGCCACUUCCUGAUCCAUACUCGGCAGAAACAUUUGAAGACCUACUCCGAGGAGGGUCAAGGUGGCGUGGCUCCCGGCCCCUCCCUCCCAGGUCUGGCCAAAGGGGGGCGGGGGGAGAGCGGUGGCAGGUGGCUCCCGGCCCCUCCCUCCCAGAUCUGGC